UCCUACUUCCAUGGCCACCGCCCUGCUGUCUUUAGUUACUAACGCCUUUUCUGGUUUCCCAUGAGCGUCGCUUUGGCACUUUAACUCCGCUUUCGGUUCAUCCCGCAUCGCCAGUUCUGCUUACCAAAAAUGGCCCACUUGGGACCCGCUAUCUGACCGCCGCUUCGACCGCAUCAGCGUAAGCGGGCGGUGCGCACUCAUUAAAAGUUUGAGAAUAGGUUGAGGCCGUUUCGGCCCCAAUACCUCUAAUCAUUCGCUUUACCACAUGCGACUACCUGGUGUCGGUCGGGUCCCAGCUAUCCUGAGGGAAACUUCGGGAGGAACCAGCUACUAGAUGGUUCGAUUGGUCUUUCGCCCCUAUACGCGACUCAGACGAUCGAUUUGCACGUCAGAAUCGGUAGCGAACUUGCAUCAGGGUUUCCCCUAACUUGAUUCUUGUCACGCAUAGUUCACACAUCUUUCGGGUACCAGCACAUAGACUCGGAGUACGGCUCCCCUCGCGCCCCCGGAGGGGCGCGAGGACGAGACCGUCCCGAGGCUGCGCGGCCAGCCGCGAGCGGCUUGCGGCCGAUCGCCUCUUAGGCGCGCGCCAUGGGCGCGGGCGCCCGACGCGCGCGCCGACCGGAUCGCUCCGGCCGGCACGCGCCUUCACGGCGCUCGCGGGUUUGCGGUCCCGCGAGCUCGCCUAUCUGCUAGACUCCUUAGUCC
RNAcentral lists this ribosomal RNA (708 nucleotides) under Bryaxis curtisii. RNAcentral describes it as "partial 28S ribosomal RNA". Lineage: Eukaryota; Metazoa; Arthropoda; Insecta; Coleoptera; Staphylinidae. The record is from RNAcentral.